This 429-nucleotide ribosomal RNA is filed under the name Gemmatimonadota bacterium. Its description in RNAcentral is "Gemmatimonadetes bacterium partial 16S ribosomal RNA". It matches the Rfam family "Bacterial small subunit ribosomal RNA", at positions 355 to 776 of the family's 1533-position model. The record is from RNAcentral. Lineage: Bacteria; Pseudomonadati; Gemmatimonadota.
UAGGGAAUCUUCGGCAAUGGACGAAAGUCUGACCGAGCAACGCCGCGUGAGUGAAGAAGGUUUUCGGAUCGUAAAACUCUGUUGUUAGAGAAGAAAAAGGACGUUAGUAACUGAACGUCCCCUGACGGUAUCUAACCAGAAAGCCACGGCUAACUACGUGCCAGCAGCCGCGGUAAUACGUAGGUGGCAAGCGUGGUCCGGAUUUAUUGGGCGUAAAGCGAGCGCAGGCGGUUGCUUAAGUCUGAUGUGAGAGCCCCCGGCUCAACCGGGGAGGGUCAUUGGAAUCUGGGAGACUUGAGUGCAGAAGAGGGGAGUGGAAUUCCAUGUGUAGCGGUGAAAUGCGUAGAUAUAUGGAGGGACACCAGUGGCGAAGGCGGCUCUCUGGUCUGUAACAGACGCUGAGGCUCGAAAGCGUGGGGAGCAAACAGG